UAUCUUAUUAUCACCACUGGACUCUUUCCGAAAUGGAGGGAAAAGCUUUUAUUAUAAUGUGCAUUUUUAUUGGUAAGUGAAACAAAUGUUAAAACAAAUUAUACAAGAACAACAAUAAUAAUACCCCAAUUCACUUAGACAUAAUAUAUAUAUGUUCAAAAUAUGUACUUUAACAGCACACCAACUUUUUGUCUUCUCUAGCAACAGUCCACGCGCAAAGUUCAACAACUCAGUCCACAGUAGAUUCAACAACCGACACCUCUGCAACACCCACAGCUACAAUGACGUCUUCAACAACCACUACAACUCUUGCUGAAUCAUCCACUACUACUGCAGGAGUUACCACGACAGCACCACAAACUACUUUUACAACAGCUGAAUCCUCCACAACAGCUACAACAACAGCAGAUCCUUCAACAACCACUACAACUAUUGCUGAAACAUCCACUACUACUGCAGGAGUUACCACGAUACCACCACAAUCUACUGUUACAACAGCAGAAUCCUCCACAACAGCUACAACAACAGCAGUUCCUUCAACAACCACUACAACUCUAACUGAAGCAUCCACUACUACUGCAGGAACAACCACAACAGCCCCACAAACUACUGUUACAACAGCAGAAUCCUCCACAACAGCAACAACAACAGCAGUGCCCUCAACAACCACUACAACUCUUGCUGAAUCAUCCACCACUACUCCAGGAGUUACCACAACAGCACCACAAACUACUGUUGCAACAGCAGAAUCCUCCACAACAGAUACAACAACAGCAGUGCCCUCAACAAUCACUACAGCUCUUGCUGAAUCAUCCACCACUAUUGCAGGAGUUACCACGACAGCACUACAAACUACUGUUACAACAGUUGAAUCCUCCACAACAGCAACAACAACAACAGUUCCCUCAACAACAAUUACAACUCUUGAUAAAUCAUCCACGACUACUGCAGGAGUUACCACAACAGCCCCACAAACUACUGUUACAACAGUAGAAUCCUCCACAACAUCUACAACAACAACAACAGUGCCCUCAACAACCAUUACAACUGUUGCUGAAUCAUCCACGACUACUGCAGGAGUUUCCACGACAGCACUACAAACUACUGUUACAACAGCAGAAUCCUCCACAACAGCUACAACAACAGCAGUUCCUUCAACAACCAUUACAACUCUUACUGAGGCAUCCACUACUACUGCAGGAGUUACCACAACAGCACCACAAACUACUGUUACAACAGCAGAAUCCUCCACAACAUCUACAACAACAACAACAGUGCCCUCAACAACCAUUACAACUGUUGCUGAAUCAUCGACCACUACUGCAGGAGUUACCACAACAGCACCACAAACUACUGUUACAACAGCAGAAUCCUCCACAACAGCUACAACAACAGCAGUUCCUUCAACAACCAUUACAACUCUUACUGAGGCAUCCACUACUACUGCAGGAGUUACCACAACAGCCCCACAAACUAGUGUUACAACAGCAGAAUCCUCCACAACAGCAACAACAACAGCAGUUCCUUCAACAACCAUUACAACUCUUACUGAGGCAUCCACUACUACUGCAGGAGUUACCACAACAGCACCACAAGCUACUGUUACAACAGCAGAAUCCUCCACAACAGCUAGAACAACAGCAGCAACAUCUGAAACACCAGCAACUUCAUCGCCAACAGGUUCAGCCACAGUCUUUACAUCAAUUAUUGGUACAUCCACCAGUGGUACAGCAAUAACCACAAAAGUGACACAAUCUAAAGUUACUACAGAGUCUACAGCAUCUAACACUUCUACAGAACCUGCAGUGUCUACAGCUGCUAUAGCUUCUACUGUAUCUACAGCUUCAACAGCAUCUACAGCAUCAACAGCAUCUACAACCUCUACAGCAUCUACAGCCUCUACAACAUCUACAACCUCUACAGCAUCUACAACCUCUACAGCAUCUACAACCUCCAAAGCAACUACUGCAAAAAUAAUACCUGAAGUGCUAACAGAUCUAGUGUUUAGCUCUUUUGAGACAUUUAUAGAUGCACUCAGUGAUGUCAACAGUGAGGAGUUUAAGAUUAGGUCUAAACUUGUCAAGGAUGAGCUUGAGCCUGUCUACAAAAUCAAGUAUUCUAACUUCCUCAGACUGAAUGUCCUAAGAUUCAGGUAAAUACAGUAUAUUGCAAUAUGAAUUAUUUUAUGAAUGCUCUGUGUGUGUGUGUGUGUGUGUGUGUGUGUGUGUGUGUGUGUGUGUGUGUGUGUGUGUGUGUGUGUGUGUGUGUGUGUGUGUCUGUGUCUGUGUGUGUGUGUGUGCGCGAGUGGUCCUGGUGUUCCCUUAUUGUGGGAACCAAAUGUCCCCACAAGGAUAAUAAUACCAGUAAAUUUUGACAUUUUUUUGGUCCCCAUGAGAAAACAAACUUAAAUCAUACAGAAUUAUCUUUUAAAAAAAUCUAAAAUAGCAGAAAGUCUUGUGUGAGGGUUAAUGGUAGGGUUAGGGUAAGGGGAUAGAAAAUACUGUUUGUACAGUAUAAGAAUCAUUACACCUAUGGAAUGUCCUCAAAACAUGGAAACAUGUGUAUGUUCCUACUUAACAAUAUUUUAAAGGGGCCUCUGAAUUCUUGAUCCAGGCCUGGUUAGAGUUAGUUUAUAGUAUUUAAAACUAGCUGUAUUAAGCUGUCCUCAUUUAGAUAGUUAAGUAAGUGUGUGUGUGUGUGUGUGUGUGUGUGUGUGUGUGUGUGUGUGUGUGUGUGUGUGUGUGUGUGUGUGUGCGUGCGUGCGUGUGUGUGAGUAAAAGAGAGAGGGGAAAAAAGAAACUUGCAAUAAACAGAAUUUAUAAAGCUAAUAUUUAUUAAUUUCAACAUUUAUAUAUUCUAGAUCAGGGUCAAUCAUCACAUCAACACAACUAGCUUUCAGCUUCAACCAAACUAUCCCAUCUGUUCAAGAGAUUUCAAACACCCUCUUGGAAGCAGUGGGAACAGGGGAUGUCAAUCCAUUAAAGAUAAUCCCUGAAUCAAUUUCAGUCAAUGGUUCAGGUAAGAUGAACUACACACACUACUCAACUCUCAACUCAACUCAACUUUACUUAUAUAGCACCAAUAAAAACAAAAAUUGUAGACCAAGGUGCUGUACUAGAUUUAUAGUCUUCUAUACCUGUAACUAGUCUAUAACUAUGAGUCUAUUGGAAUGUUCAGCUAAUUUGCUUGUGUUUUUAUUACUGCUUCAGCUACAACUGUUGCUCCUGCAACAACUACAACAACCACCACAGCAACUACAGUUUCAGGCGGAUUAAAGAUUGAAUCCAGUCUGUUCCAAGCAAUAUGCCUCAUUAUUAUGUCUAAAAUAUUAAGCUUUUUCCUAUAGAUCCCUUAAACAUAUCAACCAAACAUGAGAGUUCAACAAGACACACUGUAACAAAUUAAUUAAACACAAAAUGUAUUUAUUAUUAUUAUUAUUAAAUGUAUAGUAUUUCUCAUUGUAGCACAUUCUCAAAUACUAGUAUUGAGCAACAUAAAGAUAACUUUGAUAAUGCAUUUUUGCUGAAGAAUAUAACAGUAGAUAUCUGUUUAACAGCAGGCUGUUUUCUGGGAGGGAGAAGUAGAUCUUUUUCCUUAUGUAUUUCCUUUAAAUGUAAACAUUGUGAAUGUUGUUUAACUGUUUUGAGGUUAAUACUGUUUAAACUACUUAUUUUUGUUUGUCUAAGUUCUAACAUUGUAAUAUGUAAUAUUUUAAUUAAAUAAAAAUAUUUAUUAAAUGAUGUAGUCCAAAAUAUUUUGCUUUCAUAAAAAAAAGACUACAAUACAACUACAGCACAAUAAAUACUACACUGUAAAAAGUCUGUAGUUUUUACAAAAUAAUUUUGGCAGCUGUGGUUGCCAGAAUACUUUUGUAAAAAAUACAGAAAAACUGUAAACACAAUUACGGCCAAAAACUGUAAAUUUUACAGUAUAAAACUGUUAUUUACAAACAAGAAAAUUUUAAUGUAAACCAGUAAAUUCAACAACGCACACUGCUAUUAAAAUCUGUUUUGUACCUUUAACAUACUGACAACCACCAUAAUAAUGCAGGUGGUAAAAGAGAAAGCCACAUGAAGAAUCGAAGUUCAUCACAAGUAGCUUCGCCACAAGCAGAAGUUUAUAUUAAUAUAUAGAAGGUGCACAAAGUCAUUCAUGCAAACACAAAACACCAUCAUGGUGACACACGAUACUUAAACAAUUCAAUAAACUUUCAUUAAACAGCAGAAGAUGUAACAUAAAGCCCAAAUGUACAACUGAUAACAAAAAACUAUUAAAAAACAUGAUUAUUUAAACAAAAUACUUUCAAAUGUGGAGCGUCACACAGGGAAUUCUGGGAAUAUCAGUUUACAGUUUUUGACUGUAAAUUAUACAUUGAUUUGUUCUUUUUAUUUCUAAAAAAUUGUACAGUUAAAAUGACACUUAUUUUUUACAGUGUAUAUAUGCUAAACCUGGCUUUUUAUGGUAAAGUGUUCACUGUUCAAACAACCCUUACCAAAAAGCAGUAUACUUCAAGUUUAUUUUAUUAAGUAUACUUAAAUAAAGUUCAAGUAUAUUUU
This is a long non-coding RNA of Cyprinus carpio carpio, 4556 nucleotides long. The record is from Ensembl. NCBI's taxonomy places the organism in Eukaryota, Metazoa, Chordata, Actinopteri, Cypriniformes, Cyprinidae.